GAUGAACGCUGGCGGCGUGCCUAAUACAUGCAAGUCGAGCGAACAGACGAGGAGCUUGCUCCUCUGACGUUAGCGGCGGACGGGUGAGUAACACGUGGAUAACCUACCUAUAAGACUGGGAUAACUUCGGGAAACCGGAGCUAAUACCGGAUAAUAUAUUGAACCGCAUGGUUCAAUAGUGAAAGACGGUUUUGCUGUCACUUAUAGAUGGAUCCGCGCCGCAUUAGCUAGUUGGUAAGGUAACGGCUUACCAAGGCAACGAUGCGUAGCCGACCUGAGAGGCUGAUCGGCCACACUGGAACUGAGACACGGUCCAGACUCCUACGGGAGGCAGCAGUAGGGAAUCUUACGCAAUGGGCGAAAGCCUGACGGAGCAACGCCGCGUGAGUGAUGAAGGUCUUCGGAUCGUAAAACUCUGUUAUUAGGGAAGAACAAAUGUGUAAGUAACUAUGCACGUCUUGACGGUACCUAAUCAGAAAGCCACGGCUAACUACGUG
This 497-nucleotide ribosomal RNA is filed under the name uncultured bacterium. RNAcentral's name for it is "partial 16S ribosomal RNA". It matches the Rfam family "Bacterial small subunit ribosomal RNA", at positions 28 to 507 of the family's 1533-position model. The record is from RNAcentral.